RNAcentral lists this ribosomal RNA (414 nucleotides) under uncultured bacterium. RNAcentral describes it as "bacterial SSU rRNA". It matches the Rfam family "Bacterial small subunit ribosomal RNA", at positions 358 to 774 of the family's 1533-position model. The record is from RNAcentral.
GGAAUAUUCCACAAUGGGGGGAACCCUGAUGGAGCGACGCCGCGUGAGUGAAGAAGGGCUUCGGCUCGUAAAGCUCUUUUCCUAAGGACGAAUGACCUUUUUGAAGGGAGAGACGGUACUUGGGGAAUAAGCCACGGCUAACUACGUGCCAGCAGCCGCGGUAAUACGUAGGUGGCAAGCGUUGUCCGGAAUUAUUGGGCGUAAAGGGAGCGCAGGCGGGAUGUCAAGUCUAAAUUAAAAGAUCGGGAGUAAUGCCCGUUAAGGUUUGGAAACUGACAUUCUUGAGAGCAGGAGAGGCAAGCGGAAUUCCCGGUGUAGCGGUGAUAUGCGUAGAUAUCGGGAGGAACACCAGUGGCGAAGGCGGCUUGCUGGACUGUGUCUGACGCUGAGGCUCGAAAGCCAGGGUAGCGAACG